This 299-nucleotide ribosomal RNA is filed under the name uncultured bacterium. RNAcentral describes it as "partial 16S ribosomal RNA". It matches the Rfam family "Bacterial small subunit ribosomal RNA", at positions 475 to 776 of the family's 1533-position model. The record is from RNAcentral.
CUAUGCGCCUUGCCAGCCCGCUCAGGUGUGCCAGCAGCCGCGGUAAUACGUAGGUGGCAAGCGUUGUCCGGAUUUACUGGGUGUAAAGGGCGUGUAGCCGGGCUGACAAGUCAGAUGUGAAAUCCGGGGGCUCAACCCCCGAACUGCAUUUGAAACUGUUGGUCUUGAGUAUCGGAGAGGCAGGCGGAAUUCCUAGUGUAGCGGUGAAAUGCGUAGAUAUUAGGAGGAACACCAGUGGCGAAGGCGGCUUACUGGACUGUAAAUGACGCUGAGGCUCGAAAGCGUGGGGAGCAAACAGG